Molecule: ribosomal RNA, 563 nt
Filed under: uncultured bacterium
Lineage: Bacteria
Description: partial 16S ribosomal RNA
Rfam family: Bacterial small subunit ribosomal RNA
Source: RNAcentral
UGGGGAAUUUUGGACAGUGGGGGCAACCCUGAUCCAGCAAUGCCGCGUGUGUGAAGAAGGCCUUCGGGUUGUAAAGCACUUUUGUCCGGAAAGAAAUCGCCCUGGCUAAUAUCCGGGGUGGAUGACGGUACUGGAAGAAUAAGCACCGGCUAACUACGUGCCAGCAGCCGCGGUAAUACGUAGGGUGCGAGCGUUAAUCGGAAUUACUGGGCGUAAAGCGUGCGCAGGCGGUUGUGCAAGACAGAUGUGAAAUCCCCGGGCUUAAACCUGGGAAUGGCAUUUGUGACUGCACGGCUAGAGUGUGUCAGAGGGGGGUAGAAUUCCACGUGUAGCAGUGAAAUGCGUAGAUAUGUGGAGGAACACCGAUGGCGAAGGCAGCCCCCUGGGAUAACACUGACGCUCAUGCACGAAAGCGUGGGGAGCAAACAGGAUUAGAUACCCUGGUAGUCCACGCCCUAAANGAUGUCAACUAGUUGUCGGGUCUUAAUUGACUUGGUAACGCAGCUAACGCGUGAAGUUGACCGCCUGGGGAGUACGUCGCAAGAUUAAAACUUAAAUAAUUG